This is a long non-coding RNA of Vicia villosa (hairy vetch), 507 nucleotides long. RefSeq lists it as uncharacterized. The transcript has 2 exons. Lineage: Eukaryota; Viridiplantae; Streptophyta; Magnoliopsida; Fabales; Fabaceae. The record is from RefSeq and is a predicted model, not a curated record.
AGAGACACUCUAUAGCUAUGAAAAACUAUUUAAUUGAUGUAAGGAGAGCACAAAUUUUUAUAAAUUCAUCAGAUUAUAUAACCAUAAUUUAUUUCCUAUACAUGCAAAAGGUGGAAAAGAUGACUAAAAUUAUCAAAUUUGUUUAUAUUUUAAUUAUCUCUUUUUCUCUAUUCCUUGGUGCAAUGAGUGUUAAAACGCGUGGUAUUCCAUGUUAUAAUAAAGACGAGGAUUGUCCUAAAAAUAUGUGUAUAUACGAUGAUAAGACAAUGUGUUAUUUAGGCUUUUGUAAAUGUUUAAGUCAAAUAUAUGAUGAUUGAUAUGAGCUCUAGAUGCAAGAGAGUACAAUUAGAAUAUUUUAUGACUUGUUAUUUUGCUAUUGUUUUGACAUUUAAUAAAUUAGUUUUAAGUGUUUCUAAUUUAAAUGCACCUUCCAGUGAUAACUGUGUAAUAAAAGAUGUUAAUGAAUUAAAAUAUAACAUCAAAUAAUAAUAUAUAGUUUUUCUCUUC